RNAcentral lists this ribosomal RNA (274 nucleotides) under uncultured bacterium. Its description in RNAcentral is "partial 16S ribosomal RNA". It matches the Rfam family "Bacterial small subunit ribosomal RNA", at positions 523 to 796 of the family's 1533-position model. The record is from RNAcentral.
AUACGAAGGGGGCUAGCGUUGUUCGGAAUUACUGGGCGUAAAGCGCGUGUAGGCGGAUCGUUAAGUCAGGGGUGAAAGCCCGGGGCUCAACACCGGAACUGCCCUUGAUACUGGCGAUCUAGAGUCCGGAAGAGGUGGGCGGAAUUCCCGGUGUAGAGGUGAAAUUCGUAGAUAUCGGGAGGAACACCAGUGGCGAAGGCGGCUCACUGGUCCGGUACUGACGCUGAGACGCGAAAGCGUGGGGAGCAAACAGGAUUAGAUACCCUAGUAGUCC